GCGCCAGUAGCUCAGUCCGGAUAGAGCAUCGGAUUUCUAAUCCGACGGCCGGGUGUUCGAAUCACCCCUGGCGCGCCA
RNAcentral lists this transfer RNA (78 nucleotides) under Planctomycetes bacterium ADurb.Bin069. Its description in RNAcentral is "tRNA-Arg". It matches the Rfam family "tRNA". Rfam says of the family: Transfer RNA (tRNA) molecules are approximately 80 nucleotides in length. Their secondary structure includes four short double-helical elements and three loops (D, anti-codon, and T loops). Lineage: Bacteria; Pseudomonadati; Planctomycetota. The record is from RNAcentral. RNAcentral also lists the same sequence under 1 other name.